CUUAAAUUACCUUUUCUAGAUUUCAUGUAAAACUUUUUAUCUUCCUCACUUAAUCAUCUCUUUCACAGGCACACUCUCCUACCUUCCAAGUGAUACUGCUCUGAGUUUCCCUCUAAAGUUAUAUUCUGUGUUUCUGUUUUGUCUUGCUUUUCCUGUAUAGAAGAUCCUUCCAAAGCAUAUGGCUUUAAGCAGCUGUCCCACUUUUGGAACAAGAAUGGCAAGAGAACUAUCUGAGAGGAAAUGUGCUAAGGGAUAAAACGAAUAUGUUUCUGCUGCUUUUCCUGAAGUUUCAUUCUUCAGUGUCUAUUUUUGUUUGUUGAUAUUACACAGAAAUUACUUGAACUGGAAAGAGCAAAAACUGCCAAGGAAGAAACUUGAAAACAGUUCCAAUAUAUUGGAGUCUCACACAGGAUACACUUUUGGUAUUUGUUACUGCUGAUCAACAAAUAAUACCAGCUCCUCUUCUGGAAUGUGUUUGCAUCAUACUCUGUAGUCUCCGAUGAGUAGAGUCAUGUGCCCACUUCUGUGGAAAGAAUUAUGGGUAAACAUAAAAGUCAACUUUAAUUGAUUCCUCCCUCUUUGCAAAAAAAAAAAAAAAGAAAAGAAAAGAAAAAAGAAUAUAGUAUUUGGGAAUAUGGCUGCUCAA
Molecule: non-coding RNA, 646 nt
Organism: Ictidomys tridecemlineatus (thirteen-lined ground squirrel)
Lineage: Eukaryota; Metazoa; Chordata; Mammalia; Rodentia; Sciuridae
Source: RefSeq, a predicted model, not a curated record